RNAcentral lists this ribosomal RNA (281 nucleotides) under uncultured Mycobacterium sp. RNAcentral's name for it is "partial 16S ribosomal RNA". It matches the Rfam family "Bacterial small subunit ribosomal RNA", at positions 572 to 850 of the family's 1533-position model. Lineage: Bacteria; Bacillati; Actinomycetota; Actinomycetes; Mycobacteriales; Mycobacteriaceae. The record is from RNAcentral.
UAGGUGGUUUGUCGCGUUGUCCGUGAAAACUCACAGCUCAACUGUGGGCGUGCGGGCGAUACGGGCAGACUGGAGUACUGCAGGGGAGACUGGAAUUCCUGGUGUAGCGGUGGAAUGCGCAGAUAUCAGGAGGAACACCGGUGGCGAAGGCGGGUCUCUGGGCAGUAACUGACGCUGAGGAGCGAAAGCGUGGGGAGCGAACAGGAUUAGAUACCCUGGUAGUCCACGCCGUAAACGGUGGGUACUAGGUGUGGGUUUCCUUCCUUGGGAUCCGUGCCCGU